AACGCGAAGAACCUUACCAAGGCUUGACAUCGCCCGGAAAGCUCUGGAGACAGAGCCCUCUUCGGACUGGGUGACAGGUGGUGCAUGGCUGUCGUCAGCUCGUGUCGUGAGAUGUUGGGUUAAGUCCCGCAACGAGCGCAACCCUUGUUCCAUGUUGCCAGCACGCCCUUUGGGGUGGUGGGGACUCAUGGGAGACUGCCGGGGUCAACUCGGAGGAAGGUGGGGAUGACGUCAAGUCAUCAUGCCCCUUAUGUCUUGGGCUGCAAACAUGCUACAAUGGCCGGUACAGAGGGUUGCGAUGCCGUGAGGUGGAGCGAAUCCCUAAAAGCCGGUCUCAGUUCGGAUUGGGGUCUGCAACUCGACCCCAUGAAGUCGGAGUCGCUAGUAAUCGCAGAUCAGCAACGCUGCGGUGAAUACGUUCCCGGGCCUUGUACACACGAUAGC
This 444-nucleotide ribosomal RNA is filed under the name uncultured bacterium. RNAcentral's name for it is "bacterial SSU rRNA". It matches the Rfam family "Bacterial small subunit ribosomal RNA", at positions 958 to 1387 of the family's 1533-position model. The record is from RNAcentral.